GGGAAUAUUCAUGUUUACCGUCACUAAAAAGACAUUUCCAAAAAUAUCUUUUUCAUUAAGUGACAAAAAACUUUUAUAUAUUUUUUCUUUAUAUAUAAUAAAUAAUUAUUUAAUUAAAUAAAUAAAUAAAUAUAAAUAAAUAAUUAUGUUUUCGAAUUAUACUUUUCCAAAUUUGAACUUUUUUAUAAUGUUUUUUUUUUAUUUUUUCCAAAAUUUCUUUCUAAAAUUAUUUUUGAAACUGUAUUUUAAAAUUUAUAUAUUUUUAACUAUUUAUUUAUAUAUUUAUUAGAAUCCUAAAUUUCACAUUUCAAAAAUUAUAUCCCACCCCUCAACUAUAAACCCUAAGUCAG
This 350-nucleotide long non-coding RNA is filed under the name Brassica rapa (field mustard). Its description in RNAcentral is "long non-coding RNA (BRAP_LNC002888)". Lineage: Eukaryota; Viridiplantae; Streptophyta; Magnoliopsida; Brassicales; Brassicaceae. The record is from RNAcentral.